Molecule: ribosomal RNA, 253 nt
Filed under: uncultured bacterium
Lineage: Bacteria
Description: partial 16S ribosomal RNA
Rfam family: Bacterial small subunit ribosomal RNA
Source: RNAcentral
UACGAAGGGGGCAAGCGUUGUUCGGAAUUACUGGGCGUAAAGGGCGCGUAGGCGGCCGAUCAAGUCAGGCGUGAAAUUCCCGGGCUCAACCUGGGGGCUGCGCUUGAUACUGAUCGGCUUGAAGGUGGGAGAGGGUAGUGGAAUUCCCGGUGUAGUGGUGAAAUGCGUAGAUAUCGGGAGGAACACCAGUGGCGAAGGCGACUACCUGGCCCAUUCUUGACGCUGAGGCGCGAAAGCUAGGGGAGCGAACGGG